UACGUAGGGUGCAAGCGUUAAUCGGAAUUACUGGGCGUAAAGCGUGCGCAGGCGGUUAUGUAAGACAGUUGUGAAAUCCCCGGGCUCAACCUGGGAACUGCAUCUGUGACUGCAUAGCUAGAGUACGGUAGAGGGGGAUGGAAUUCCGCGUGUAGCAGUGAAAUGCGUAGAUAUGCGGAGGAACACCGAUGGCGAAGGCAAUCCCCUGGACCUGUACUGACGCUCAUGACACCGAA
This 236-nucleotide ribosomal RNA is filed under the name uncultured bacterium. Its description in RNAcentral is "partial 16S ribosomal RNA". It matches the Rfam family "Bacterial small subunit ribosomal RNA", at positions 524 to 758 of the family's 1533-position model. The record is from RNAcentral.